This 400-nucleotide ribosomal RNA is filed under the name uncultured bacterium. RNAcentral describes it as "bacterial SSU rRNA". It matches the Rfam family "Bacterial small subunit ribosomal RNA", at positions 355 to 772 of the family's 1533-position model. The record is from RNAcentral.
UGGGGAAUAUUGGACAAUGGGCGAAAGCCUGAUCCAGCAAUGCCGCGUGAGUGAUGAAGGCCUUAGGGUUGUAAAGCUCUUUUACCAGGGACGAUGAUGGCGGUACCUGAUGAAUAAGUCACGGCUAACUACGUGCCAGCAGCCGCGGUAAUACGUAGGUGACCAGCGUUGUCCGGAUUUACUGGGCGUAAAGAGCGCGCAGGCGGUCGUUCAAGUCGAGUGUGAAAGCCCCCGGCUCAACUGGGGAGGGUCAUUCGAUACUGAUCGACUUGAAGGCAGGAGAGGGAAGCGGAAUUCCCGGUGUAGUGGUGAAAUGCGUAGAUAUCGGGAGGAACACCAGUGGCGAAGGCGGCUUCCUGGCCUGUUCUUGACGCUGAGGCGCGAAAGCUAGGGGAGCAAA